GCAUUAAGUCAGAACCGGCACUUUUCUGCUCGGAGUUGAAAUUUUUUCAAAGUGCUCCUACCAAAACGUGAGGCACAGUGGGUGUCUAAAAGGCUGCUCUAAGCUGUCUCACUUCGGUCCCUCUGAGAACUGAGGUUUCAAAGAGACUGGACGUUCCCCUUCGGUCACUUCGUGAGACACAGCUCACAUAUGGAGAUGUUGAAAAGGUGAAUGUGAAAAGGCUAUAAAGCAACCUGCGUCUUGCCCAGUGAAACCCCAUAGGCAAAGCCUACAUGCCACCAGGCCCUGUUCGCAAAACGACGGUUUUACUGCGCAAACAACGCUUUAUCCAGUAUAGCAGUCGAAAAUCCGUCCGCUCACUGGGCAAGACGGGCAGGUCUAAUGCCAUUGUUCAUGGAUGGUGCCAGAUAGCUAGCUAGGGACUGCUCAACACUGGGGCAUUGAUGCCAGGCACAUUUGUUGGUUGUUUCCAUGUUCUGGAACAGAUGGAAGCCUAAAGUUGGGCCUCGAGCUGAGUAGGAUCUGUCCCAUGUUGCUGACGCAUAGCAGUGACAUCAUCAACUUAGUCAGGGAAGGGUGGAAUUCCAUGCCAGGAUAAAGACUGCAUCUCGGGGAGGAGUUUGCCAUCCAUCCAAUUCCUUUAUGGUGGUGCAGGGGCUACUGACCAAUCAACCCCUAGGUGUACUGCAGCCCUGAGGCAGGUGUCCAGAGAAUCUGGCCUAGCCUGUAGUGUGCUGGCCGUCUGGAG
Clupea harengus (Atlantic herring) is the source of this 748-nucleotide long non-coding RNA. Lineage: Eukaryota; Metazoa; Chordata; Actinopteri; Clupeiformes; Clupeidae. The record is from Ensembl.